Molecule: ribosomal RNA, 1244 nt
Filed under: Psychrobacter faecalis
Lineage: Bacteria; Pseudomonadati; Pseudomonadota; Gammaproteobacteria; Moraxellales; Moraxellaceae
Description: bacterial SSU rRNA
Rfam family: Bacterial small subunit ribosomal RNA
Source: RNAcentral
GGGGCAACUUGUUGCUCUCGCUAUUAGAUGAGCCUAAGUCGGAUUAGCUAGAUGGUGGGGUAAAGGCCUACCAUGGCCGAUCUGUAGCUGGUCUGAGAGGAUGAUCAGCCACACCGGGACUGAGACACGGCCCGGACUCUACGGGAGCAGCAGUGGGGAAUAUUGGACAAUGGGGGCAACCCUGAUCCAGCCAUGCCGCGUGUGUGAAGAAGGCCUUUUGGUUGUAAAGCACUUUAAGCAGUGAAGAAGACUCCAUGGUUAAUACCCAUGGACGAUGACAUUAGCUGCAGAAUAAGCACCGGCUAACCUGUGCCAGCAGCCGCGGUAAUACAGAGGGUGCAAGCGUUAAUCGGAAUUACUGGGCGUAAAGCGAGCGUAGGUGGCUUGAUAAGUCAGAUGUGAAAGCCCCGGGCUUAACCUGGGAACGGCAUCUGAUACUGUUAGGCUAGAGUAGGUGAGAGGAAGGUAGAAUUCCAGGUGUAGCGGUGAAAUGCGUAGAGAUCUGGAGGAAUACCGAUGGCGAAGGCAGCCUUCUGGCAUCAUACUGACACUGAGGUUCGAAAGCGUGGGUAGCAAACAGGAUUAGAUACCCUGGUAGUCCACGCCGUAAACGAUGUCUACUAGUCGUUGGGUCCCUUGAGGACUUAGUGACGCAGCUAACGCAAUAAGUAGACCGCCUGGGGAGUACGGCCGCAAGGUUAAACUCAAAUGAAUUGACGGGGGCCCGCACAAGCGGUGGAGCAUGUGGUUUAAUUCGAUGCAACGCGAAGAACCUUACCUGGUCUUGACAUAUCUAGAAUCCUGCAGAGAUGCGGGAGUGCCUUCGGGAAUUAGAUACAGGUCUGCAUGGCUGUCGUCAGCUCGUGUCGUGAGAUGUUGGGUUAAGUCCGCAACGAGCGCAACCCUUGUCCUUAGUUACCAGCGGUUUGGCCGGGAACUCUAAGGAUACUGCCAGUGACAAACUGGAGGAAGGCGGGGACGACGUCAAGUCAUCAUGGCCCUUACGACCAGGGCUACACACGUGCUACAAUGGUAGGUACAGAGGGCAGCUACACAGCGAUGUGAUGCGAAUCUCAAAAAGCCUAUCGUAGUCCAGAUUGGAGUCUGCAACUCGACUCCAUGAAGUAGGAAUCGCUAGUAAUCGCGGAUCAGAAUGCCGCGGUGAAUACGUUCCCGGGCCUUGUACACACCGCCGUCACACCAUGGAGUUGAUUGCACCAGAAGUGGGUAGCCUAACCUUUAGG